UGAAACAUCUAAGUACCCGGAGGAAGAGAAAGCAAACGCGAUUUCCUAAGUAGCGGCGAGCGAAACGGAAGAAGCCCAAACCAAGAGGCUUGCCUCUUGGGGUUGUAGGACACUCAAAACGGAGUUACAAAAGAAUGAUGUAGGUGAAGCGACAUGGAAAGGUCGGCCGAAGAAGGUAACAGCCCUGUAGCUGAAACAUCAUUCACUCUUGAGUGGAUCCUGAGUACGGCGGGACACGAGAAAUCCCGUCGGAAGCAGGGAGGACCAUCUCCCAAGGCUAAAUACUCCCUAGUGACCGAUAGUGAACCAGUACCGUGAGGGAAAGGUGAAAAGCACCCCGGGAGGGGAGUGAAAGAGAACCUGAAACCGUGUGCCUACAAGUAGUCAGAGCCCGUUCAAGGGUGAUGGCGUGCCUUUUGUAGAAUGAACCGGCGAGUUACGAUCUCGUGCAAGGUUAAGUUGAAGAAACGGAGCCGCAGCGAAAGCGAGUCUUAAGAGGGCGAGUAAGUACGAGGUCGUAGACCCGAAACCAGGUGAUCUACCCAUGUCCAGGGUGAAGGUAGGGUAACACCUACUGGAGGCCCGAACCCACGCACGUUGAAAAGUGCGGGGAUGAGGUGUGGGUAGCGGAGAAAUUCCAAUCGAACUUGGAGAUAGCUGGUUCUCCCCGAAAUAGCUUUAGGGCUAGCCUUAAGAAAAGAGUCUUGGAGGUAGAGCACUGAUUGGACUAGGGGCCCCCAUCGGGUUACCGAAUUCAGUCAAACUCCGAAUGCCAAGCACUUAUGCUUAGGAGUCAGACUACGAGUGAUAAGGUCCGUGGUCAAGAGGGAAACAGCCCAGACCACCAGCUAAGGUCCCAAAGUGUACGUUAAGUGGCAAAGGAUGUGGAGUUGCCCAGACAACCAGGAUGUUGGCUUAGAAGCAGCCACCAUUUAAAGAGUGCGUAAUAGCUCACUGGUCGAGUGACUCUGCGCCGAAAAUGUAACGGGGCUAAACGUACCACCGAAGCUGUGGGUGAACAGAAAUGUUCGCGGUAGGGGAGCGUUCUAAGGGCAUUGAAGCUAGACCGGAAGGACUGGUGGAGCGCUUAGAAGUGAGAAUGCCGGUGUAAGUAGCGAAAAGACAGGUGAGAAUCCUGUCCAUCGAAAGCCUAAGGUUUCCUGAGGAAGGCUCGUCCGCUCAGGGUAAGUCGGGACCUAAGCCGAGGCCGAAAGGCGUAGGCGAUGGCCAACAGGUUGAAAUUCCUGUACCACCUCAUUACCGUUUUCCCGCAAGGGGACAAGGGGCACUAAGCGCUAAAGCGCAAAGACCCCCUUCGAAGCAAUGGAGGGACGCAGGAGGAUAGGGCAAGCGCGCUGUUGGAAAUGCGCGUCCAAGCAGGUAGGCUGAGAAGUAGGCAAAUCCGCUUCUCGAAAAGGCUGAGCUGUGAUGGCGAGGGAAAAACAGUACCGAAGUUCCUGAUUCCACACUGCCAAGAAAAGCUUCUAGCGAGGUAGAAGGUGCCCGUACCGCAAACCGACACAGGUAGGCGAGGAGAGAAUCCUAAGAUGCGCGAGAGAACUCUCGUUAAGGAACUCGGCAAAAUGACCCCGUAACUUCGGGAGAAGGGGUGCUCUGAUAGCGUGCAAGCGUGAGAGAGCCGCAGUGAAUAGGCCCAAGCGACUGUUUAGCAAAAACACAGGUCUCUGCGAAGCCGUAAGGCGAAGUAUAGGGGCUGACACCUGCCCGGUGCUGGAAGGUUAAGAGGAGAGGUUAUCGCAAGAGAAGCUUUGAAUCGAAGCCCCAGUAAACGGCGGCCGUAACUAUAACGGUCCUAAGGUAGCGAAAUUCCUUGUCAGGUAAGUUCUGACCCGCACGAAAGGUGUAACGACUUGGGCACUGUCUCAACGAGAGACUCGGUGAAAUCAUAGUACCUGUGAAGAUGCAGGUUACCCGCGACAGGACGGAAAGACCCCGUGGAGCUUUACUGCAGCCUGAUAUUGAAUUUUGGUACAGCUUGUACAGGAUAGGUAGGAGCCUGGGAAGUGGGAGCGCCAGCUUCCAUGGAGGCAAUCAUCUAGUUGGGAUUUAAUACUUUGCAACUCUGUUAAAAUCUGUUGUAAUAUUUUGUCGCCCAUGGCUAUCCACCCUUAUUAGUUUUAUUGUUUUUAUUUGUUAGCAAUUCAAAUGUUCUUCGUAAGUGCUCGAUAUCUUUGCGGCUCAUGUUUUUCCAUUUUUCGAUGUCAAAGAAGCCGAUGUCGUCGAUUUGAUAUUCAUUAAGCAACUUAUUAAUCUCAGAUAGCUGAUUAAAAUCUUCGUGAGAAUAAGGUAUUGAUUGCUUUGGGUUGUCCGUUCUACCAAGUAUAUAGUCUGUUGUUGUACUAAAUAUUUCAGCAAUCUUAUUUAUUGCAUCAGCAGGCGGGAUUUUUGUUCCAUUUUCAUAAGCAGUAUAAGUUACUCUUGCAAUUCCUAUUAAAUUUGCAACAUAUUCUUGAGUAUAUUUACUGUUUUCCUUUUUCUUUUCAUCACGUAGUUGUUUUAUUCUCUUAGCUAAAAUAUCCAUUAUCAUCAGCUCGUUUCUAUGCUACCUUAUUCUAAUUAUAAUGUUACCGAAAGAAACUUUGUAUAAAUGUUACUAAUAGGAUAAAAGAUAAAGGAAACAAGACGAACAAAGUGAGUCAAUGUUGACUUAUCGUA
Molecule: ribosomal RNA, 2676 nt
Filed under: Calidifontibacillus oryziterrae
Lineage: Bacteria; Bacillati; Bacillota; Bacilli; Caryophanales; Bacillaceae
Description: bacterial LSU rRNA
Rfam family: Bacterial large subunit ribosomal RNA
Source: RNAcentral